This is a long non-coding RNA of Esox lucius (northern pike), 1040 nucleotides long. The record is from Ensembl. Lineage: Eukaryota; Metazoa; Chordata; Actinopteri; Esociformes; Esocidae.
UCUCUUCCUCCAUUAUAUGUACAUUCACAGUUGUAAAACCCUUCAUCUGAUGGUUGUAUGUUAGUGAUGUGUAGAAACACUCUGCCACCAUCAUUCUGUAGAUUGACCCUGGAGUCACAAGUGCUAUUUGUAUAAUUUUUGUCAAACCGUAAUGAGAUGUGACACUUGUGCUCCCCAUUUCUUUUACAUGUUAUCAACAACAUAUCAGACAUUGUAUGAUUUUGGCAAAUGUGAGUGACAUCUGUUCCUCCGAUCUCCAAUGUUUUCAGUAGGGUCACUAUAAAUAGGAAGGGAAGGUAAUAUUUUUUAAUGGGAUAUAUUGCGUAGUGAAUCUAUAUGUUGAUAAUAAAAAUACAAUGCAUAGUUUGUUGUGUAAAAAGAGAUUUACAAAAAAUAAUUUGUAAAAAUUGUUUUCCAUCUCAGUGCUUGUUGUCACAAGUUUUUAUAUUGUUGUAAGAGAUUGAAAACUUAACAGCAAUGAUAACAAUAUUUCAUUUCAUUCUGUUUUGAAUGCAACAUUUAGCACAGGUUAUCACUUAUUCCUGUGUUGCUUCUACAUCCUGAAUGUGUGUUUAAGAAAAGAACCGUUGUCUUUCUUACCUUCACUGGCGGUGUACAUCCCCAACAGAAACAGAAGUGGUGCAAACCGAAACACACUUCUACACAUACUGUUUUUUCUUCAGACCCCAACGUUAAAGAAAAAAUAUCAGCUCAGACUUACAACAGAACAAAGUCAAACUAAGGCAAACCCAAUUGAUGAUCCUCUAACAGGUUUUAUACUGGUUAAACUCUGCUAACAUGAAAGCUGAGAGCAGAAACUGAUGCUCAUAACAUCAAAACAUCUCUGUCUCUGCAGUGGACCCACCACCACACACAAUGUAAUUAUCAAACACUAGGCCACAGCUCCAUUUCCUGCUAUAACAAACAUCAUAGACUGUUUUCUGCCCUAACCACAAGACUGAGAGGUAAUUAUAUUAGGUUUAGGUACGUGUUUUAGAUCUGGUCAUCUCAAUGCAUAGCAGGAAAUGAUCCAAUUAAAU